This is a non-coding RNA of Oryctolagus cuniculus (rabbit), 1161 nucleotides long. Lineage: Eukaryota; Metazoa; Chordata; Mammalia; Lagomorpha; Leporidae. The record is from RefSeq and is a predicted model, not a curated record.
GUUGAGAUUCUCUUCCUGUUGGACUCUGCCUGAGCCAUUACAUUCAGACCUCACCUAUGACCAUGGUGUGAGAAGGUGCAGACUCCUUGUUGGAUUUCCUUAAAGCUCCUUUCAUAGCUUCUACAUGGAUAACCAGUAACUAUGCCUCAACCGAGAGAGAGAGAGAGAGAGAGAGAGAGAGAGAAAUCAUCCACUGCUUCAUUCUCCAAAUGUCCAUAAUAGGAGCUGCGCCAGGCUGAAGCGGGGAGCCACGGACUCAGUUCAAGUCUCCCAGAAACAAUUCUAAGAACAUAUCUUGCCUUUGGUAAUGGCAUGUAUGUGCAAUUAACAGCUCCAAGUUGAGAAAAAGCCUCCUUUUAGCUAUCCAGAGCUUACACAGGAAGACGACCUCUGCUUUGACCCUGGGAAAAAGAGUGUUUCUUCACAAUCAACAUUCAGCGCAUUUCCCUAAUUAAUGCAAUUUGAUAAAAUGAAACAAAUUCAUGAUGUCAUUAACUGAGUUCUGCCUAAUGAAGUUGAGUUGUAUGAAACAUUAACCGCAGAGCAGAAUCCAUUUCUGUGGCCAGGGAAACACACAUUUUUUCAUUUCAGAACAUUUACUUUGGAAGUACCAAUCAUGAAGGCUUAUCACUACAAUCAUCAUGUCUUGACAAAUCAACAUAAAUUAACAUUUUGAUCAAUGCCAUCAUUAAGCCCAGUCUGAGAAAAAAAGGAUAUCACUCUGGUAAAAUGGCACCAGCAAACUUGCCUCUUGACAAGAUGAUAAGAGGCUGCUAGGUGGACAGUUUUCGCUUUUCCAUUUGAAGCUGCAUUUAUCAUACUGAGCUUGACAAUAACCAUCAAUGAGCUUCAAAUCAUGAAAGGGGAGUUUACCUUCACAGACACAAUGUGAAUAGCAGUUUUAAAAGAAGGCAAAAGAGCAGAACGCUGCUAAAAUUAACAGGAAAUCUACACACACCCUCCUUCAUUAGAAGUCUCUUCCAGUGGUGCUAUUUAUAUUCCAAGAGGAUGUAUGUGUGCAUUUCUUAUGUAAGAUCAUAUACUGGGAUUAUGAACAUAGACCUUACAUAUUUUUAGAACCUUUACCUUCUAAAGAAGAAAUAAAUAUGCAAACUUAAUUCAUGCCUAGUAAGAAACUUAUGAAUCCAAUAAAUUCAAAUA